CCUACGGGAGGCAGCAGUAGGGAAUAUUGCUCAAUGGGCGAAACGCUGAACCAGCAACGCCGCGUGGAGGAUGAAGGUUUUCGGAGUGUAAACCCCUUUUUUUAGAGAAGAUAAUGACGGUAUCUAACGAAUAAGCACCGUCUAACUCCGUGCCAGCAGCCGCGGUAAUACGGAGGGUGCAAGCGUUAUGCGGAAUCACUGGGCGUAAAGGGCGCGUAGGGGGGAUAGCAAGUCAGAUGUGAAAUCCUUUGGCUUAACCAUAGAACUGCAUUUGAAACUGUUAUUCUAGAGUAUGGGAGAGGUAGGUGGAAUUCUUGGUGUAGCGGUAAAAUCCGUAGAGAUCAAGAGGAAUACUCAUUGCGAAGGCGACCUGCUAGAACAUAACUGACGCUGAUGCGCGAAAGCGUGGGGAGCAAACAGGAUUAGAUACCCCAGUAGUC
Molecule: ribosomal RNA, 440 nt
Filed under: uncultured bacterium
Lineage: Bacteria
Description: partial 16S ribosomal RNA
Rfam family: Bacterial small subunit ribosomal RNA
Source: RNAcentral